GUCCACGCCGUAAACGAUGGAUACUAGCUGUUCGGUGCAAACUGAGUGGCUAAGCGAAAGUGAUAAGUAUCCCACCUGGGGAGUACGUUCGCAAGAAUGAAACUCAAAGGAAUUGACGGGGGCCCGCACAAGCGGUGGAGCAUGUGGUUUAAUUCGAUGAUACGCGAGGAACCUUACCAAGGCUUAAAUGUAGAUUGACAGGACUGGAAACAGUUUUUUCUUCGGACAAUUUACAAGGUGCUUCAUGGUUGUCGU
Molecule: ribosomal RNA, 255 nt
Filed under: uncultured bacterium
Lineage: Bacteria
Description: partial 16S ribosomal RNA
Rfam family: Bacterial small subunit ribosomal RNA
Source: RNAcentral